UGGGGAAUAUUGCACAAUGGACGAAAGUCUGAUGCAGCAACGCCGCGUGGAGGAUGACACAUUUCGGUGCGUAAACUCCUUUUAUAUGAGAAGAUAAUGACGGUAUCAUAUGAAUAAGCACCGGCUAACUCCGUGCCAGCAGCCGCGGUAAUACGGGGGGUGCAAGCGUUACUCGGAAUCACUGGGCGUAAAGAGCAUGUAGGCGGGUGAAUAAGUUGGAAGUGAAAUCCUAUAGCUUAACUAUAGAACUGCUUCCAAAACUGUUCACCUAGAGUAUGGGAGAGGUAGAUGGAAUUUCUGGUGUAGGGGUAAAAUCCGUAGAGAUCAGAAGGAAUACCGAUUGCGAAGGCGAUCUACUGGAACAUUACUGACGCUCAGAUGCGAAAGCGUGGGGAGCAAACAGG
Molecule: ribosomal RNA, 404 nt
Filed under: uncultured bacterium
Lineage: Bacteria
Description: bacterial SSU rRNA
Rfam family: Bacterial small subunit ribosomal RNA
Source: RNAcentral